ACUUGAACAGAUGGAGAAAGUGUGGCAAGAACAUUGGUUUUGGAAGAGAAUAGUGACUGAAAUGAAUGAUAAAGAGCAUAAACGUGAGAUAUCAAUAUGAUAUACUUGAAGGAAGUUCUAAAUCAAAUGUUCUACCCAUGUUAGCUUAAAAAUUUGUCUAAAUAUCAUUACCUUGACUAUAAAGCAAUACAAUGGUUUUCAGUUUGUAAAAUUAGAUUAUAAUAAUUAAAACAGUUUUCUCCACUUUUAAAGUAUACUUCUUACUUGACAGAAGAAGUGCUGGCAAGUGACAUGAAUUGAAAGAUCAAGUUCAAACAUGAAAGUACGAAGUGUUGAUAGAAUCAAGGUGGUUUUAAAAUCCUCCCUAUUUUUCCUUGAGAGUAGCUUAUGGCAUAAAUGAUUAUUACUUGAUAUUGGCUUAAAUAAGAGAUCUACUCUGCUUGUAUUUGCAGAUAUCUAUCUUAAUCGGUAUAAAGGGUGGAAAACUACGAAUAAAUUCCAAUGUGAUGAUGUUCAUCCACAAAAAAAGUGACAGAAACGUGGUGUAAGUCACUUUUCUUAGUACUUGGGCGGACAACAUUAAAACUGUAGUAUGAAACUCGUGCAAAGAUUGUUAAAAUUGUAAACAAUCUUUCAAUCAUUGUUAAUUGAAAUAUCAGACGCAAGAAUAAUAUUACAGUACAAGCACAUUUAAGUGCUAUUAGUUCUCCUCAGUCAACAAAAUUAGCAUACUGAUUUGAAUUCAUUUGUUGGGAGAUACUCAUUUCUUGAAUAGUAUGUCUCAGGGUAGCACAGUAAAAACUUCAACGUCUUUCAUUGCAGGGCUCCUUACUGAGUAUUUAAAUGUCCAACCAUGGCAGGCACCAGCAUGCUCCCCCUUUUUAUUGAGGGCAACAACGGCUCCCAAAAAAUCUGGAAAUUUUUUCGCUAUUCGCG
Molecule: long non-coding RNA, 936 nt
Filed under: Vigna radiata
Lineage: Eukaryota; Viridiplantae; Streptophyta; Magnoliopsida; Fabales; Fabaceae
Description: long non-coding RNA (VRAD_LNC004168)
Source: RNAcentral